This 460-nucleotide ribosomal RNA is filed under the name uncultured bacterium. RNAcentral describes it as "partial 16S ribosomal RNA". It matches the Rfam family "Bacterial small subunit ribosomal RNA", at positions 338 to 795 of the family's 1533-position model. The record is from RNAcentral.
CCUACGGGUGGCAGCAGUGAGGAAUAUUGCACAAUGGACGAGAGUCUGAACCAGCCAAGCAGCGUGAAGGAUGACUGCCCUAUGGGUUGUAAACUUUUUUUAUAUGGGAGUAAAAUGUUCCACGUGUGGGAUUUUGUAUGUACCAUAUGAAUACGGAUCGCCUAACUCCGCGCCAGCAGCCGCGGUAAUACGGAGGAUCCGAGCGUUAUCCGGAUUUAGUGGGUUUAAAGGGAGCGUAGGUGGAUGGUUAAGUCAGUUGUGAAAGUUUGCGGCUCAACCGUAAAAGUGCAGUUGAAACUGGCAGUCUUGAGUACAGUAGAGGUGGGCGGAAUUCGUGGUGUAGCGGUGAAAUGCUUAGAUAUCACGAAGAACUCCGAUUGCGAAGGCAGUUCACUGGACUGCAACUGACGCUGAGGCUCGAAAGUGUGGGUAUCAAACAGGAUUAGAUACCCUGGUAGUC